Molecule: non-coding RNA, 1299 nt
Organism: Callithrix jacchus (white-tufted-ear marmoset)
Lineage: Eukaryota; Metazoa; Chordata; Mammalia; Primates; Cebidae
Source: RefSeq, a predicted model, not a curated record
UGCUUUAGAACAAGAAGACAUGGCCGUCUCUCAGGCUGUUUGGCCUUCAUUCCGCCUGGGAGGAUGAUGGAUUAGGUCCCUGAACAGAGCGGCUUUGGGGCUUCUGGAUAAUCCUAGGCUGCUCUGUGGCUGCUGGAGGUGAAAGGGUCUUGCCAGUCAUAGUUUGCCUUCGUGCCAGAGUGGAGCAUUGUCCUCUCCAUCCUCAAGGUCCCUGAUAUCGACUGGAAUUGGCCACGGACUUUAUCUUCCCUGCUCUUGCAGCUUCCUUUAUUACGACUCACUACUCCGAGGAUGGAGUGGAUUCCACCGUGCUGAAGUCCAGUGGGUGUCAUGAAUAUUUGCUGAGUGUUGCUGUCGCAGAGAGAGGGGAGUUGGUUGUGACUACCCAGCCACCAGCAUUUUGUGGGUUUCUGGCAGGGCUAACCCCAGGGGCCUGUGACGUCAGAACUCCAUCCCCAGUGCCGUGCCAAGGUGAGUCUGCUUCCGCCAGGAGUUAUUACCAAAUGGAACCUGAGGGAGGAAGGCCAGGUAUUUCCUGAACGUCAUGGACCACGAGGCCCAGGUGACUCCUCAAGGUCUGAGUUUGCUGCAGUGGCGGCAGUUGGCAGGUGGAGCCUGGAGGGUGGUGAGGCGUUAAUGACUGCCUGCUUCCUCCCCGACCCGCCUGUCUCUCUGCUCUGCCGUGCCUGUGAUUUCAUCAUGCACACCUUUGUAAACAAUCCAUUUAGCAACCAAAUGAUACACUGGGUAAUUAUAGCUUUCAGCCUCAUGUCAGGAGUUCCCCGCUCAGCGUGCUCCUGGUGAUACUGCAGCCCGAAUUGGGGACCGGCUUUGCUAACGUCCUGAUGAGAUGUCGGGGGAGAGACAGGAUGUGGCAGGUGGGAGGACUCCAGGUACGACGGAGCUGGAAUCGGAAGGUGUUCCUGGACCUCAGGAAGACGAGAAUGAAAUGGAGGGAAGAAAGUCAAUCCCAUGGAUGCGUGAGGAAUCAAACCAGAGUGUCGGGACAGGCAUGUUCGGUAGUAUUGGCAAGGCUCUAGUCUCACGUGGGGUGUGGGUUUAUUGCUACCUUUCAUAGUCAACUAUAUUAUUGGAUUCAUAAUUGAAUAAAUAUUACUGGACUAUUUUCAUGUACCGUAUAGGACUACAUUUUUUUUUAAGAAGAUAACGAGCAAGAAUGAAGACACGGAAGUAGCUAUAGAUCAGGGGCAGAUAUGGGUGUAGCGUGCUGCUAUGAAGUCCAGCUCUUUUGAAUUAGGGCAAACUUGGGAGAAUUGUUGAUUUUUUCUUGAUAAUAAA